Molecule: ribosomal RNA, 495 nt
Filed under: Halomonas sp. M6-C12
Lineage: Bacteria; Pseudomonadati; Pseudomonadota; Gammaproteobacteria; Oceanospirillales; Halomonadaceae
Description: bacterial SSU rRNA
Rfam family: Bacterial small subunit ribosomal RNA
Source: RNAcentral
UAGAGUUUGGAUCAUGGCUCAGAUUGAACGCUGGCGGCAGGCCUAACACAUGCAAGUCGAGCGGAAACGAUGGAAGCUUGCUUUCAGGCGUCGAGCGGCGGACGGGUGAGUAAUGCAUAGGAAUCUGCCCGAUAGUGGGGGAUAACGUGGGGAAACCCACGCUAAUACCGCAUACGUCCUACGGGAGAAAGCAGGGGAUCUUCGGACCUUGCGCUAUCGGAUGAGCCUAUGUCGGAUUAGCUAGUUGGUGAGGUAAUGGCUCACCAAGGCGACGAUCCGUAGCUGGUCUGAGAGGAUGAUCAGCCACACUGGGACUGAGACACGGCCCAGACUCCUACGGGAGGCAGCAGUGGGGAAUAUUGGACAAUGGGGGAAACCCUGAUCCAGCCAUGCCGCGUGUGUGAAGAAGGCCUUCGGGUUGUAAAGCACUUUCAGCGAGGAAGAAGGCCUGAGGGUUAAUACCCUUCAGGAAGGACAUCACUCGCAGAGAGACCG